GCCGAAUUAGCUCAGUUGGUAGAGCAACGCACUCGUAACGCGUAGGUCGUAGGUUCGAGCCCUAUUUUCGGCACCA
This 76-nucleotide transfer RNA is filed under the name Acholeplasmatales bacterium. RNAcentral's name for it is "tRNA-Thr". It matches the Rfam family "tRNA". From Rfam's summary of the family: Transfer RNA (tRNA) molecules are approximately 80 nucleotides in length. Their secondary structure includes four short double-helical elements and three loops (D, anti-codon, and T loops). RNAcentral also lists the same sequence under 1 other name. Lineage: Bacteria; Bacillati; Mycoplasmatota; Mollicutes; Acholeplasmatales. The record is from RNAcentral.